AGCGCAAGGCCCCAGAGCACAGGCAGGAAAAGAGAGCAACUUCCGGCCGUCCUGGCGCCCCAUUCCAGUGGAGGGGGAAAGGCAGGAAGCAGAAGGAUCACUGGGAACUCGGGGAGUAGAUAAGCGGGGGCCGCUGGGGAGGAAACUGGGCCAGGUGGAAGCGGUUGUUGAGAAGGUACUGGCGCUGGAUGUACUUUGCAGGGCAGCUGCCGGACGAGGAGGCGAAGCGGGUCUCUGGCUGGAGCCCCUUGCGGAUGAGCUGCCCUGGGCCAAGGUGUGGGAUGGGAGCUGUUACAGGCACUGGGCCUUGAGUUCCUGUCAGACACCAGGGUUCAAACUCAGGACCUUGUGCUUGUGAGGCAGCCACGAUGCCAUGGAACUAAAUCCCCAGCCCUGUAAUAAAGUUUUAAAAAUAAACUUUCACCCUG
Molecule: long non-coding RNA, 428 nt
Organism: Heterocephalus glaber (naked mole-rat)
Lineage: Eukaryota; Metazoa; Chordata; Mammalia; Rodentia; Bathyergidae
Source: Ensembl